Molecule: non-coding RNA, 545 nt
Filed under: Drosophila virilis
Lineage: Eukaryota; Metazoa; Arthropoda; Insecta; Diptera; Drosophilidae
Description: Archaeal large subunit ribosomal RNA
Rfam family: Eukaryotic large subunit ribosomal RNA
Source: Rfam by way of RNAcentral
GCGGGGAAAGAAGACCCCUUUUGAGCUUGACUCUAAUCUGGCAGUGUAAGGAGACAUAAGAGGUGUAGAAUAAGUGGGAGAUAUUAGACUUCGGUUUGGUAUCGACAAUGAAAUACCACUACUCUUAUUGUUUCCUUACUUACUUGAUUAAAUGGAACGUGUAUCAUUUCCUAGCCAUUAUACGGAUAUAAUUAUUAUGUCUUAUGGUAUUGGGUUUUGAUGCAAGCUUCUUGAUCAAAGUAUCACGAGUUUGUUAUAUAAUCGCAAACAAAUUCUUUAAUGAGAGAAUGCAUUUAUGUAUUAUUGAUUUAAAAAUUUGGUAUAACUCCAAUUACUCAGGUAUGAUCCAAUUCAAGGACAUUGCCAGGUAGGGAGUUUGACUGGGGCGGUACAUCUCUCAAAUAAUAACGGAGGUGUCCCAAGGCCAGCUCAGUGCGGACAGAAACCACACAUAGAGCAAAAGGGCAAAUGCUGACUUGAUCUCGGUGUUCAGUACACACAGGGACAGCAAAAGCUCGGCCUAUCGAUCCUUUUGGUUUAAAGAG